UUCUUGGGCUCCACAUCCAUGGACUGUGGAUCAAGCCUUCCAGAGCAAGGCUGUCCAUACUCCUGGUCCCGGUGUGGAGAGCAGGCCUCUGUUUUUAUUGUCACCAUCUCUCCUAAGGAAGCCUGGGUCUGGUUCAAACAGUCCUUCAAGUUUUCACUCAUGUUCUCGGCGCUGCGGGCGCGGGGGGCCCGCCUCGGCGUCCGGGGACCCGCUCCGCCCGGGGGGGCCCGGCUGGCUGCGCGCUGCCUCCCCGCCGCCCCGCCGGCCCCGCUCGCUAGUCGCAGGCGAGGACGGGUCCCGGGGCCGGGCCGGGCUCGGCGGAGGCGGCGGCGGCUCCCUCCCUCCCGGCCGUGACCACCAUCUUAUUAGCACAGGAAAUGACAUGGAGAACGGAAGAGAGGGGCGUUCGGGGGCCGAGCCCGGGGACCCCCCGAACCGGGGGGAGGCGCCGCCGGCCCGCCCGGCCCGGCCCGCUGGGGCUCCCCGGGGCCGCCGCGCUCCCGCCUUCCUGCAACUGCCCGCCCGGUGCUGGCGCCCGCGGGGAAGCGGGAGGAGGGAGGGGAAAAAAGCCAACAAAACCGCCACAAAACCCGCACAAAGCAGAAAAACAACACCAGCGAAAUCCAAACCGCCCCCGCUUCCCACCUCCUGCUCCGGAGCCUGCGAGUCCCGCGCGGAGCCGGCGGCGAUCUGUAGCCGCCCCGGGCGGGCAGGGGCUCGGGGGGGUGGGGGGGGCGCUUUUAAGGACUGAAGCGGCUCCCGGGCAGGGCGCGGGGGGAGCCCGCGGCUCAGGGGCUCGGCCCGGCCCGGCUCGGAGGGGCUGCCCCGCGCUGGCCCCGCGCCGCUCUCCCGCAGCGGCCGCCGCUAGCACCUGCCGCCGGGCCGGGCUGCGGGAGCCGCGGGGAGCCGAGCCCCGGGCUGCUCCGCCGGCCCCGGCGCGAGUCGGAGCGGCCCCCGGCGGGCGGGGGGGGCCCCCGCCCCCCGGUGCCGUCUCGUCCCGCGGGGGACGCGAGGUUCUGUGUUCGCAGAGCUCCGCUGCUUUCGGCCCACCGCCCCAUAAAGCUGCCCGUCAGACAGCAGUGCCACAGCGAGCUCUGCCCCCAGCUCUGCCAUGAGGCCGGGGGCAGCUCGCUGACUGACAAAAAGUAGGCGUAAUUUAAUAAACAGAGGAAGCGUGUCUCACCAAUAAAACGAAUUCUAAAUAAAACCAUCUGCAAGCAUUAAGCUUGAAACAAUGCAAACUGCUUGGCUGCCCUGCCAAAAGAGGCACGGUGGGGGGUAAAGAAGGGGGUAGAUAAAUG
This 1301-nucleotide long non-coding RNA is filed under the name Gallus gallus (chicken). Lineage: Eukaryota; Metazoa; Chordata; Aves; Galliformes; Phasianidae. The record is from RNAcentral.